RNAcentral lists this ribosomal RNA (465 nucleotides) under uncultured bacterium. RNAcentral describes it as "partial 16S ribosomal RNA". It matches the Rfam family "Bacterial small subunit ribosomal RNA", at positions 28 to 507 of the family's 1533-position model. The record is from RNAcentral.
GACGAACGCUGGCGGCGUGCUUAACCCAUGCAAGUUGAACGGAAAGGUCCCCUUGCUGGUACUUUCGUCGCCAACGGGUGCGUAACACGUGAGUAACCUGCCCUUGACUUCUGGAUAACUUCAGGAAACUGGCGCUAAUACCGCAUAGGAAUCCCUGCCGCAUGUGGGGGGUUGGUAAGCCUCCGCGGUUCUGGAUGGACUCGCGGCCUAUCGGCUUGUUGGUGGGGUAGGGGCUUACCAAGGCCUUGACGGGUAGCCGUCCGGAGGGGGCGACCGGCCCCAUUGGGGCUGAGAGGCGGCCCAGACUCCGAAGGGAGGCAGCAGUGGGGAAGAUUGCACAAUGGGCGGAAGCCUGGUGCAGCAACGCCGCGGGCGGGAGAGCGGCCUUCGGGUUGUAAACCGCCUUCAGCAGGGGCGAAGCUUGUGGUGACGGUACCUGCAGAAGAAGCACCGGCUAACUUCGUG